CACGGGGGGAGCAAGCGUUGUUCGGAAUCACUGGGCGUAAAGGGCGUGUAGGCGGUUCGGUAAGUGGAAUGUGAAAUCCCUCGGCUCACCCGAGGACCUGCAUCCCAAACUGCCGAGCUUGAGUAUGGGAGAGGAUGAGGGAAUUCCUGGUGUAGCGGUGAAAUGCGUAGAUAUCAGGAGGAACACCGUGGCGAAGGCGCUCAUCUGGCCCAAUACUGACGCUGAUGCGCGAAAGCUAGGGGAGCAAACAGG
RNAcentral lists this ribosomal RNA (252 nucleotides) under uncultured bacterium. RNAcentral's name for it is "partial 16S ribosomal RNA". It matches the Rfam family "Bacterial small subunit ribosomal RNA", at positions 524 to 776 of the family's 1533-position model. The record is from RNAcentral.